AGAGUUCGAUCCUGGCUCAGGACGAACGCUGGCGGCGUGCCUAACACAUGCAAGUCGAACGGAGCUAAUUAAAGGAAGUUUUCGGAUGGAAUUUAGCUAGCUUAGUGGCGGACGGGUGAGUAACGCGUGAGCAACCUGCCUUUCAGAGGGGGAUAACGUCUUGAAAAGGACGCUAAUACCGCAUAACAUUAACACACCGCAUGGAGUGAUAAUCAAAGGAGCAAUCCGCUGAAAGAUGGGCUCGCGUCCGAUUAGCCAGUUGGCGGGGUAGAGGCCCACCAAAGCGACGAUCGGUAGCCGGACUGAGAGGUUGAACGGCCACAUUGGGACUGAGACACGGCCCAG
Molecule: ribosomal RNA, 345 nt
Filed under: uncultured bacterium
Lineage: Bacteria
Description: bacterial SSU rRNA
Rfam family: Bacterial small subunit ribosomal RNA
Source: RNAcentral